GACGAACGCUGGCGGCGUGCUUAACACAUGCAAGUCGAACGGUGAAGCGCCUUCCUUUCUGGUGGGUGUGUAUGAGCGGCGAACGGGUGAGUAACACGUGAGCAACCUGCCCCCUUCUGCUGGACAACCGCAUGAAAGAGUUGCCAAUACGGGAUAUUCUGGGUCUGUCGCAUGAUUGGUCAGGGAAAGAUUUUGUGUCGGUGGUGGAUGGGCUCGCGGCUUAUCAGCUUGUUGGUGGGGUGAUGGCCUACCAAGGCGGUGAGGAGUAGCCGGCCUGAGAGGAUGGACGGUCCGAGAGCGGCGGAGCGGCCGAGCAGACUCCGGCGGGAGGCAGCAGGGAAGAUUCUUGAACGGGGGGCGGCAGGCUGAAGCAGCGCCGCGGGGUGAGGGAUGGAGGCCGUCGGGUAGUGAACCUCUUUCGGGAGUGAAGCAGGGCUGCCUCGUUUGUGGGUGGGUUGACGGUAGCUGAACAAGAAGCCCCGGCUAACUACGUG
Molecule: ribosomal RNA, 494 nt
Filed under: uncultured bacterium
Lineage: Bacteria
Description: partial 16S ribosomal RNA
Rfam family: Bacterial small subunit ribosomal RNA
Source: RNAcentral